This 497-nucleotide ribosomal RNA is filed under the name uncultured bacterium. Its description in RNAcentral is "partial 16S ribosomal RNA". It matches the Rfam family "Bacterial small subunit ribosomal RNA", at positions 28 to 507 of the family's 1533-position model. The record is from RNAcentral.
GAUGAACGCUGGCGGCGUGCCUAAUACAUGCAAGUCGAGCGAACGGACGAGAAGCUUGCUUUUCUGAUGUUAGCGGCGGAAGGGUGAGUAACACGUGGAUAACCGACCUAUAAGACUGGGAUAACUUCGGGAAACCGGAGCUAAUACCGGAUAAUAUUUUGAACCGCAUGGUUCAAAAGUGAAAGACGGUCUUGCUGUCACUUAUAGAUGGAUCCGCGCUGCAUUAGCUAGUUGGUAAGGUAACGGCUUACCAAGGCAACGAUGCAUAGCCGACCUGAGAGGGGGAUCGGCCAGCCUGGAACUGAGACACGGCCCAGACUCUUAGGGGAGGCAGCAGUAGGGAAUCUUCCGCGAGGGGCGAAAGCCUGACGGAGCAACGCCGCGUGAGUGAUGAAGGUCUUCGGAUCGUAAAACUCUGUUAUUAGGGAAGAAGAUAUGUGUAAGUAACUGUGCACAUCUUGACGGUACCUAAUCAGAAAGCCACGGCUAACUACGUG